AUGGGAGAUCAUGUGCAGGGGCUGGUGGGCAACAUAUGGAGCGUGGACCCGAAAAAGGCCGCUCCCACGAAGGACGUGGUCGCGCCAGAAGAGGCCGAAGGCGGGACCGUGGGCAAAAUGAUGGACCCGACGAACCAGACCAGUGUUGGUACUCGCAAGGACAGUUGGGUUUUUGUACGACGGCUCAGUCAGUUUGUAUCACUGUGGUACACGUUCGGUGGAGGAACCAGACUGGAUGUUGGAUGUGAUGUGCGCCCGUACCUGACAGUGCUGCCCCCCUCCAGAGAAGACCUGGAGCAGGGGAAGGCCACGCUCAUGUGCCUGGCCAACAAGGGCUUCCCCUCAGACUGGAGUCUGGCCUGGAAGGUGGACGGCAGCAGCAGCAGCAGCAGCAGCAGCUGGGAGGAGAGCAGGAGCCCCGGGGUGCUGGGGAAGGACGGCCACUACAGCUGGAGCAGCACCCUGAGGCUCCCUGCAGACCAGUGGAGGAAGGUGGGCUCUGUGACCUGUGAGGCCACCCAGGGCUCCCAGACUCCGCUCUCAGAGACACUGAGGAGAGACCAGUGUUCCCAGUCCUGAGCUGACUCCCUGGCAGGGACUCUGCUACUGGUUUUACUCUGACACUGCUCUCACUCUGCUCUCUGCAGCUAGCUCUGGCUUUUAUUUCACCUGUUUCAAUAGACAUAUUUACCAGCUUGUUGCAAUGUUUCAAUAUUAUUUCAGUGUUUCCAGAUAAUAAAGAGGUAUUCAUCAAAUUAA
Perca fluviatilis (European perch) is the source of this 759-nucleotide non-coding RNA. NCBI's taxonomy places the organism in Eukaryota, Metazoa, Chordata, Actinopteri, Perciformes, Percidae. The record is from the annotation of a RefSeq genome assembly.